This 253-nucleotide ribosomal RNA is filed under the name uncultured bacterium. RNAcentral describes it as "partial 16S ribosomal RNA". It matches the Rfam family "Bacterial small subunit ribosomal RNA", at positions 524 to 776 of the family's 1533-position model. The record is from RNAcentral.
UACGUAGGGGGCUAGCGUUGUCCGGAUUUAUUGGGCGUAAAGAGCGUGUAGGCGGCCUGGUAGGUCUGCUGUGAAAACUCGAGGCUCAACCUCGAGAUGUCGGCGGAAACCAUCUGGCUAGAGUCCGGAAGAGGUGGGUGGAAUUCCUAGUGUAGAGGUGAAAUUCGUAGAUAUUAGGAAGAACACCGGUGGCGAAGGCGGCCCACUGGUCCGGUACUGACGCUGAGGUGCGAAAGCGUGGGGAGCAAACAGG